UAUCUGAUGGUCCAGUGGUUAAGACUGCAUUCCCAGUGCAUGGGGCCCAGGUUCAAUUCCUGGUCAGGGAA
This 71-nucleotide transfer RNA is filed under the name Ovis aries (sheep). It matches the Rfam family "tRNA". From Rfam's summary of the family: Transfer RNA (tRNA) molecules are approximately 80 nucleotides in length. The record is from Rfam by way of RNAcentral. Lineage: Eukaryota; Metazoa; Chordata; Mammalia; Artiodactyla; Bovidae.